AGGGUGUAAACGCUGCGGACUUGGUGUUGGGGGCCCUUUGGGGGCAUUCAGUGCCGGAGAGAAGUUGUUAAGUCUGCUACUUGGGGAGUACGUCCGCAAGGAUGAAACUUAAAGGAAUUGGCGGGGGAGCACCGCAACGGGAGGAGCGUGCGGUUUAAUUGGAUUCAACGCCGAAAAACUCACCAGCAGCGACUGUUACAUGAAAGUCAGGUUGAUGACCUUACUAGAUUUUCAGAGAGGUGGUGCAUGGCGUCAGUGACU
Molecule: ribosomal RNA, 261 nt
Filed under: uncultured archaeon
Lineage: Archaea
Description: partial 16S ribosomal RNA
Rfam family: Archaeal small subunit ribosomal RNA
Source: RNAcentral